This is a small nucleolar RNA of Caenorhabditis elegans, 227 nucleotides long. The record is from Ensembl. NCBI's taxonomy places the organism in Eukaryota, Metazoa, Nematoda, Chromadorea, Rhabditida, Rhabditidae.
CUAAUGAGUGCUUCUGACUAAAGGUAUCCCCCGUCACAAUAUAUAGAAUUUCUUAAAGUUCAUACCGAAAAAAGUUCUGAUCUAUGUAGUUUACUCUAACUUUGAUACAUCCACUUAUCAGAAAAAGAGGCAUGAGACAACGAAAGCGUAUUCUACGAAUAAGCUCCUUCUUGUCAACCCCCUCAUUUCCUUUUCGUUUCUACUUACUUACGUCUACCUGCUCUCUC